CCUACGGGAGGCUGCAGUGAGGAAUAUUGGUCAAUGGGCGCGAGCCUUAACCAGCCAAGUAGCGUGAAGGAUGACUGCCCUACGGUUUGUAAGCUUCUUGUAUAAAGGAAUACAGUUAGGCACGUGUGCCUUUUUGUAUGUACUUUAUGAAUAAGGAUCGGCUAACUCCGUGCCAGCAGCCGCGGUAUUACGGAGGAUCCGAGUGUUAUCCGGAUUUGUUGGGUUUAAAGGGAGCGUAGAUGGGUUGUUAAGUAAGUUGUGAAAGUUUGCGGCUCAACCGUAAAAUUGCAAUUGAUACUGGCAGUCUUGAGUACAGUUGAGGUAGGUGGAAUUCGUGGUGUAGCGGUGAAAUGCUUAGAUAUCACGAAGAACUCCGAUUGCGAAGGCAGCUUACUAAACUGCCACUGACAUUGAUGCUCGAAAGUGUGGGUAUCAAACAGGAUUAGAUACCCUUGUAGUC
Molecule: ribosomal RNA, 460 nt
Filed under: uncultured bacterium
Lineage: Bacteria
Description: partial 16S ribosomal RNA
Rfam family: Bacterial small subunit ribosomal RNA
Source: RNAcentral